CCUGCAGGAAAGGACAUCAACCGAGACUCCGCAAGUAGUGGCGAGCGAACGCGGACCAGGCCAGUGGCAAUGAGGAAUAAAGUGGAAGGAUCUGGAAAGGUCUGCCGUAGCGGGUGACAGCCCCGUACACGUAGAACACUCAUUGUCCUUGAGUAAGGCGGGACACGAGAAAUCCUGUCUGAACAUGGGGAGACCACUCUCCAAGCCUAAGUACUCGUGCAUGACCGAUAGCGAACAAGUACCGUGAGGGAAAGGUGAAAAGCACCCCGACAAGGGGAGUGAAAUAGAACCUGAAACCGGAUGCCUACAAACAGUCGGAGCCCGCAAGGGUGACGGCGUACCUUUUGUAUAAUGGGUCAACGACUUAGUGUGACAUGCAAGCUUAAGCCGGUAGGUGGAGGCGUAGCGAAAGCGAGUCUGAACAGGGCGCCUUAGUAUGUCGCAUUAGACCCGAAACCGAGUGAUCUAGCCAUGAGCAGGUUGAAGGUUGGGUAACACCAACUGGAGGACCGAACCCGCAUCUGUUGCAAUAGAUUGGGAUGACUUGUGGCUAGGGGUGAAAGGCCAAUCAAACUCGGAAAUAGCUGGUUCUCCGCGAAAUCUAUUUAGGUAGAGCGUCGACCGAAUACCCCCGGGGGUAGAGCACUGGAUGGGCUAUGGGGACUCACCGUCUUACUGAUCCUAACCAAACUCCGAAUACCGGGGAGUACUAGUCGGCAGACACACGGCGGGUGCUAACGUCCGUCGUGAAAAGGGCAACAACCCUGACCUCCAGCUAAGGUCCCCAAGUCAUGGCUAAGUGGGAAAGGAUGUGAGGAUCCCAAAACAACCAGGAUGUUGGCUUAGAAGCAGCCAUCAUUUAAAGAAAGCGUAACAGCUCACUGGUCUAAAUAAGGGUCUUUGCGCCGAAAAUGUAACGGGGCUGAAGCCAUGCACCGAAGCUGAGGAUUUGCCUUACGGCAAGUGGUAGCGGAGCGUUCCGUAAGCCUGUGAAGGGAUACCCGUGAGGGGUCCUGGAGGUAUCGGAAGUGCGAAUGUUGACAUGAGUAACGAUAAAGAGGGUGAGAGACCCUCUCGCCGAAAGACCAAGGGUUCCUGCUUAAAGUUAAUCUGAGCAGGGUUAGCCGGCCCCUAAGACGAGGCGGACACGCGUAGUCGAUGGGAACCACGUUAAUAUUCGUGGGCCUGGUGGUAGUGACGGAUCGCUCAACUUGUCCGGACUUAUUGGAUUGUCCGGGCGGGGACGCGGUUCCAGGAAAUAGCUCCACCGUAUAGACCGUACCCGAAACCGACACAGGUGGUCAGGUAGAGUAUACCAAGGCGCUUGAGAGAACUAUGUUGAAGGAACUCGGCAAAUUGCACGCGUAACUUCGGAAGAAGCGUGACCUCAUGAUGGGCAACCAUUGUGGGGUGGCACAGACCAGGGGGUAGCGACUGUUUAUCAAAAACACAGGGCUCUGCGAAGUCGCAAGACGACGUAUAGGGUCUGACGCCUGCCCGGUGCUGGAAGGUUAAGAGGAGGGGUGCAAGCUCUGAAUCGAAGCCCCAGUAAACGGCGGCCGUAACUAUAACGGUCCUAAGGUAGCGAAAUUCCUUGUCGGGUAAGUUCCGACCUGCACGAAUGGCGUAACGACUUCCCCGCUGUCUCCAACAUAGACUCAGUGAAAUUGAAUUCCCCGUGAAGAUGCGGGGUUCCUGCGGUCAGACGGAAAGACCCCGUGCACCUUUACUAUAGCUUUACACUGGCAUUCGUGUCGGCAUGUGUAGGAUAGGUGGUAGGCUUUGAAGCGGGGACGCCAGUUCUCGUGGAGCCAUCCUUGAAAUACCACCCUUAUCGUCAUGGAUGUCUAACCGCGGUCCGUCAUCCGGAUCCGGGACAGUGUAU
This 1885-nucleotide ribosomal RNA is filed under the name Sinorhizobium arboris. RNAcentral's name for it is "bacterial LSU rRNA". It matches the Rfam family "Bacterial large subunit ribosomal RNA", at positions 209 to 2259 of the family's 2925-position model. The record is from RNAcentral. Lineage: Bacteria; Pseudomonadati; Pseudomonadota; Alphaproteobacteria; Hyphomicrobiales; Rhizobiaceae.